RNAcentral lists this unclassified non-coding RNA (21 nucleotides) under Chlamydomonas reinhardtii. RNAcentral describes it as "small RNA Cre_0515". Lineage: Eukaryota; Viridiplantae; Chlorophyta; Chlorophyceae; Chlamydomonadales; Chlamydomonadaceae. The record is from RNAcentral.
AGGAGACAUUCGUGUGUGCGG